RNAcentral lists this ribosomal RNA (497 nucleotides) under uncultured bacterium. Its description in RNAcentral is "partial 16S ribosomal RNA". It matches the Rfam family "Bacterial small subunit ribosomal RNA", at positions 28 to 507 of the family's 1533-position model. The record is from RNAcentral.
GAUGAACGCUGGCGGCGUGCCUAAUACAUGCAAGUCGAGCGAACGGACGAGAAGUUUGCUUCUCUGAUGUUAGCGGCGGACGGGUGAGUAACACGUGGAUAACCUACCUAUAAGACUGGGAUAACUUCGGGAAACCGGAGCUAAUACCGGAUAAUAUUUUGAACCGCAUGGUUCAAAAGUUAAAGACGGUCUUGCUGUCACUUAUAGAUGGAUCCGCGCUGCAUUAUCUAGUUGGUAAGGUAACGGCUUACCAAGGCAACGAUGCAUAGCCGACCUGUGAGGGUGAUCGGCCACGCUGGAACUGAGACACGGUCCAGACUCCUACGGGAGGCAGCAGUAGGGAAUCUUACGCAAUGGACGAAAGCCUGACGGAGCAACGCCGCAUGAGUGAUGAAGGUCUUCGGAUCGUAAAACUCUGUUAUUAGGGAAGAACAUAUGUGUAAGUAACUGUGCACAACUUGACGGUACCUAAUCAGAAAGCCGCGGCUAGCUACAUG